AUCUGACUAGCAGUGGGGAAGGGUCCCUUUUGGAGAUCACUCCUCUUGGAGUCUUUUCAGGGAACCUAGGAUACAGCCUUUGGAUCUCAGCGCACCUGUGAAGGUGUUUACUCAGCUAUGAACACAAUUAUGACAAGCAAUAACAGUUGUCUUUCAAAUAAACAUCUGGAAAACCAGAGGUAACGUCAACUCAGACAGUGGCAGAAUUUGGAAAGGCUGUUAAUGGCUGGAUUGGAACUGUGCCCUGGGGACUGCUUCAGGAGGGUGUGAGGUCUUGGUGCCAAAAAUUCAGAAGGGAACCUGCAUCUUCUCCACUUAUCCCCAGUGUCUGGGUCCUCUGGCUUCAGUAAGCAUGGGAGAGCCCUCGUAUCCCCCUGUAGAAUCUUGGCAGGAGUUGCUUGGCUGCCCAGCUCUUUGCAUGCAGCAGAAGAGACUUCUGGGGCUAACUUCUAUUUUGGUGUGGAUACCGACAUCCGUCCAGGGGUCCCCACGUGAUGACAGAAGAACUGUUGUUGGCACCAUUGGUUCCCAGCUCUGGAGCUCUUCCAGCUCAGUGUAGCUCCAGGCAUGUAUUGCCAGGAAAUCCAGACAGCUGUACCGCAUAUCACUCCUUUCUUUAAUAUGCUGUAAAAGUUCCUCCUCCGCGCUCGCUAUUCUGUUGUCGUAAUUAAGGAUCUGCAUCAGGAAAUGCCACGCUUCAAACCUGAGUUUACUGUGUGCUUGACAGACUCCCACAGCUUCCUUCUCCAGCACUCAUUUCCAUCGAAAAUGCCUCGUGAAGCCAGCAGCUCGCUCUUGCAGAGACUAUCUUGAUAUGUAACGAGGAUGCUGAUUUUUAAAUAUGUUACUGAGGUCAUACUCCAUGCUGAAAGCAUUUUUUUUUCUAUUGUGUGGUAGUGGUUGCAUAGCAUGUUGGCGUGAUGCACAGUGAAUCUUGUGAGCUGGGUGGAAAGCCCCUUUCUCUUUGGCUUUUGUGCUCCAGGUGCGUGCCUGGGACACUUCACCAGUAUUAGGAACAUGAAAAAUGUCUAGUAAUACUCAAAUACCGCGUAAAAAAUAUGCCUUUUACGUCUGAAACAAGGUCCAACAUGCUAGAUGCAUAUUUAAUGUGUUGGAGAACGAUCAUUUUGUUCAGAGUAAAAACACAUGCACAUUUGUGUGCCCAGAGCCUCCUUACCUGCACAGCUGUAGUGUAUCUGCAUGCUUAGAAUCAGAGAGUCAUAGAACAUCCUGAGUCGGAAGGGACCCAUGAGGAUCAUUGAGUCCAACUCCUAUCAGACUUAACAAUUUCCACUGUUGUUUUGUGUUGGUGUUUUUUUUGUUUGUUUGUUUGUUUUUGUUAUUUCUUGCAUCGCAGCCAACUCAUGGCCACACUCAUGUAGGGAAGGAGGGCAGCCCCAGCUAUCCUUCAUGGGGGCAAAGGGCAUGUGGGAUGCUCCCAGUGCAUCCAUGCAGCGCUGCUCUGCCUAUGGAAGUGGAGGAAAAGGUGAUUAACAUCAUGCUAAAAAAAUAAAUUCUCUGUUCAUUAUUAAUGUGAAGGUCACGAUGGAGAGUAGCACUGUCUUGAUUUUUUUAGGUACAUCUGAGUCUCUGGUAACUGUGAUAGCUGGAGCUCAGAUUGUCUUUUUUUUUUUUUUCUGUUUCUGAGAGCAGCUGAUUUUUCUGUCAUUUUUCUGUCCACUCAUUGCCAUUCUCUCAUCUUCCCUGCUACCCUGUGUCCCCUAUCACACUCCCUGCUCUGCUGCAUCUUUGUCUGGUCUUCUUUAAGGUCUUGUGCUUUUUUAAUAUAUAUUUCAUUUUAUUUCUUUACCCGAUUUUCUUGACUUUCCCACUCCUUCUUUUCUGCUGCAGGCUUCCAAGUCUUUCUUUUCUGCGCUGGUCCCCCCAUCUUCACUGCUGACAUUUGGAUCACUUUUUGCUGUUUUCAACACAUCCAUCUUCUUCAGCAUCUUUUUCCUGUUCUCAUCUCUCCAAAUUCUCCCCACUUUCCCAGUUCCUAUUUCCUACCAGCUCCCUUUACUCCAGUUUUUCCUCCAGCUAAGAGCCUGGUGGAUGGGGUGGGACCACCAGAGCCAGCAGGGGAGAUGUUCAGCUCAUGGCUCCUGCUAGAAAGCCAAGACCACCUGUAACCCCACCAUGGCUCUGGCCACCGAUUUGUGUUCCACCCGGUUCUCAUUUGUCAUUGUUAGUCCUUCCUUCCUCAUUAGAUAAUUAUCAUCCAUGCCACCUCCCUUUUUAAUCAUUCCUUGAAUGCUUAAAUUAUCACUAUAUCAUUCAGAUAUAUCUUUGAUCUCCUCAAUACGGUUUUAUUUUCCCAAGUAGCAUGGUUAUUGCUGUCCCCUUCAUGCUUUUGUGUUCAUCCCAUUUUCACUGAACAGUUCCCUGUUCCUCUUUGUUCACACUCCAGGAAAAAAAUUAAGAUGCCCUUUUUUUAAUUUAAAAGUAGAAUGUAUUGCCACAUUGCACGUGACAAGCUGUAUUUAGAAAGCAUAAAUCGAGUACCUGUGUUCAGUAUUAAUUUGUGUUGAGUUAAAUGCGUGGAAAAAAAUAUAUAUUGGGAAGAAGAGAGAGUGAAAAAUAAAAGCUGGAAAAAAAUCAA
Molecule: long non-coding RNA, 2599 nt
Organism: Lagopus muta (rock ptarmigan)
Lineage: Eukaryota; Metazoa; Chordata; Aves; Galliformes; Phasianidae
Exons: 5
Source: RefSeq, a predicted model, not a curated record